RNAcentral lists this transfer RNA (68 nucleotides) under Cavia porcellus (domestic guinea pig). It matches the Rfam family "tRNA". From Rfam's summary of the family: Transfer RNA (tRNA) molecules are approximately 80 nucleotides in length. Their secondary structure includes four short double-helical elements and three loops (D, anti-codon, and T loops). Lineage: Eukaryota; Metazoa; Chordata; Mammalia; Rodentia; Caviidae. The record is from Rfam by way of RNAcentral.
GGGGAUUUAGCUCAGCGGCAUAAGCGCCUGCCUUGGAAGCAGGCAGUCAUGAAUGAGUUCGAUCCCCA